This 465-nucleotide ribosomal RNA is filed under the name uncultured bacterium. RNAcentral describes it as "partial 16S ribosomal RNA". It matches the Rfam family "Bacterial small subunit ribosomal RNA", at positions 338 to 795 of the family's 1533-position model. The record is from RNAcentral.
CCUACGGGAGGCAGCAGUAGGGAAUCUUCCACAAUGGGCGAAAGCCUGAUGGAGCAACGCCGCGUGGGUGAAGAAGGUCUUCGGAUCGUAAAACCCUGUUGUUAGAGAAGAAAGUGCGAGAGAGUAACUGUUCACGUUUCGACGGUAUCUAACCAGAAAGCCACGGCUAACUACGUGCCAGCAGCCGCGGUAAUACGUAGGUGGCAAGCGUUAUCCGGAUUUAUUGGGCGUAAAGGGAACGCAGGCGGUCUUUUAAGUCUGAUGUGAAAGCCUUCGGCUUAACCGGAGUAGUGCAUUGGAAACUGGGGAACUUGAGUGCAGAAGAGGAGAGUGGAACUCCAUGUGUAGCGGUGAAAUGCGUAGAUAUAUGGAAGAACACCAGUGGCGAAAGCGGCUCUCUGGUCUGUAACUGACGCUGAGGUUCGAAAGCGUGGGUAGCGAACAGGAUUAGAUACCCUAGUAGUC